This 751-nucleotide ribosomal RNA is filed under the name Bacillus sp. SK119. RNAcentral describes it as "bacterial SSU rRNA". It matches the Rfam family "Bacterial small subunit ribosomal RNA", at positions 67 to 796 of the family's 1533-position model. Lineage: Bacteria; Bacillati; Bacillota; Bacilli; Caryophanales; Bacillaceae. The record is from RNAcentral.
GGACAGAAUGGGAGCUUGCUCCCUGCAUGUUAGCGGCGGACGGGCUGAGUAACACGUGGGGUAACCUGCCUGUAAGACUGGGAUAACUCCGGGAAACCGGGGCUAAUACCGGAUGGUUGUUUGAACCGCAUGGUUCAGACAUAAAAGGUGGCUUCGGCUACCACUUACAGAUGGACCCGCGGCGCAUUAGCUAGUUGGUGAGGUAACGGCUCACCAAGGCGACGAUGCGUAGCCGACCUGAGAGGGUGAUCGGCCACAAUGGGACUGAGACACGGCCCAGACUCCAACGGGAGGCAGCAGUAGGGAAUCUUCCGCAAUGGACGAAAGUCUGACGGAGCAACGCCGCGUGAGUGAUGAAGGUUUUCGGAUCGUAAAGCUCUGUUGUUAGGGAAGAACAAGUGCCGUUCAAAUAGGGCGGCACCUUGACGGUACCUAACCAGAAAGCCACGGCUAACUACGUGCCAGCAGCCGCGGUAAUACGUAGGUGGCAAGCGUUGUCCGGAAUUAUUGGGCGUAAAGGGCUCGCAGGCGGUUUCUUAAGUCUGAUGUGAAAGCCCCCGGCUCAACCGGGGAGGGUCAUUGGAAACUGGGGAACUUGAGUGCAGAAGAGGAGAGUGGAAUUCCACGUGUAGCGGUGAAAUGCGUAGAGAUGUGGAGGAACACCAGUGGCGAAGGCGACUCUCUGGUCUGUAACUGACGCUGAGGAGCGAAAGCGUGGGGAGCGAACAGGAUUAGAUACCCUGGUUAGUCC